RNAcentral lists this ribosomal RNA (660 nucleotides) under uncultured bacterium. Its description in RNAcentral is "bacterial SSU rRNA". It matches the Rfam family "Bacterial small subunit ribosomal RNA", at positions 94 to 788 of the family's 1533-position model. The record is from RNAcentral.
AGUGGCGGACGGGUGAGUAACGCGUGAGAAUCUGCCUUGGGGUCGGGGACAACCACUGGAAACGGUGGCUAAUACCGGAUAAGCCGAUUGGUGAAAGAUUUAUUGCCCGAAGAGGAGCUCGCGUCUGAUUAGCUAGUUGGUGAGGUAAGAGCUCACCAAGGCAGCGAUCAGUAGCUGGUCUGAGAGGACGAUCAGCCACACUGGGAUGGAGACACGGCCCAGACUCCUACGGGAGGCAGCAGUGGGGAAUUUUCCGCAAUGGGCGAAAGCCUGACGGAGCAAGACCGCGUGAGGGAGGAAGGCUCUUGGGUUGUAAACCUCUUUUCUCAGGGAAGAAGCUCUGACGGUACCUGAGGAAUCAGCCUCGGCUAACUCCGUGCCAGCAGCCGCGGUAAUACGGAGGAGGCAAGCGUUAUCCGGAAUUAUUGGGCGUAAAGCGUCCGCAGGUGGCGACUCAAGUCUGCUGUCAAAGCACGGGGCUUAACUCCGUAAAGGCAGUGGAAACUGAAUAGCUAGAGUGCCGUAGGGGUAGAGGGAAUUCCCGGUGUAGCGGUGAAAUGCGUAGAGAUCGGGAAGAACAUCGGUGGCGAAAGCGCUCUACUGGACGGCAACUGACACUCAGGGACGAAAGCUAGGGGAGCGAAUGGGAUUAGAUACCCC